UCUGGUUAGAGGAAUAGGCAGAUGUUUGUCUCUCAGUAAAGGAGAUCAUCCGUGCUUUGCACACUUGCCUUUCUUCUAGCUAUUUAAGCUUUUUCUGAUGCAGAUGCCACCCUGGAGCAUACCUUACUGUGAGCUUGUGAAGUGGCUCCUAGAACAUAUUUUCCGGCUAAGGUAGAAGAUGUUUCCUAGGGAGGACACCAGAACAGGAGAAAUAAAGUCAUAGAAAAAACAGUUCCUGGACCGGGAACCCAGGCCCAGCCCUGACACUGAGUCUCUCUGCUCCCAUGGACCAGGCACUUUUUCUCUCCAAACCUGUAAUCUAGAAAGUUUCUUUUCUAGUUCUAAAAAUCUGUGAUUCUAGGUACUGUGAAAACAAAAAAUAAGAAAGUAAGGGUAAAGAAAAUGGAGUGGAACGCUAAUAGAUGGGAAUUCAUUCAUUCACUUACUCAUUUAUUCAUUCAUUCUUCCUUUGUAUCUUCUAGCAAGAUGUCAUGGAGCCCCUAUUAAAUGAGAGGCGGGGACUGCUCACUCUCCCAGACAAGGGGGUGAGGAAAAAGGAUCACUAUUUGCUAGCACCAAGUAAAGCCCACCGUUGUCCACUGUGCAGUUAAUUCGGACCAGUGCAGGUAGCCAGAUGACAGACUGAGAGCUGGAUUCACAGGUUCCAUUCACUCAUCUCUAUAUUUCAAUGUGACCCUGAAGCAACAGAGGCUAAAAUAAGAGCAAUAGGAAAAAUCACCCCUGUUUAAAAAUAAAUGAUGAAUACAAACCUCACACCAUAUUGGAUUCCAAAGACCACAGAACUGCCAUGCCAGAACCAAAAAGAUAAGGCAGCAACAUAUACAGGAUAGAGCUUGAACUAGAAAUCUGGGUUGUUGCCCGUGAUCUGUCACCAACUACAACAUUGGUGUAGCUCUGAUCAAGGUACCUUCCAUCUCUGAGUCUUAGUCUCCUGUUCUUUAAAGUCUGGCCUGAGCUUAAACUGGAUUUUCUCCAAGGCCUCUUCCAGGUCUAAUGUUACAUGAUCGGUCGCUGAUAUUAUUCCAUAAGGUAGUAUUCCCUUCUAAAAACAGCAAAACACAAAUUCCUCAAAGCCAAAGGCAACACCUUUGUUUCCUUUGCAUGGCUGAUUAAAUUAAUGCAAACCAAGCAGGCUUUCACCGGAGAGCCUGGGAAAUUGCCGGAUAUUUGGGGAAGAUUACUGAGGUUAGUGCACAGUUGUCUUUGGCUAAGAUGUGCAGUCCUUCAGAGUUUUCUUGGAGUUUUGAUUAAGCAUAAAAUAGAGAAGCUCAAGCUAUGUAGACUCUCUAACCAAAAAUGCUUCUCAAGAAGGGCUCUUUUAUCACUUGCUAUAAGGGAGGUAUAUUUAUUCUUUGAAUCAUUUUUUAUAUCUCCAUUCCAUUCUUUGUGGUCGCAUAAAGCACACACAUCUAUUUACAGCCCUUCAAGGUAAGUACAAUCGUCCCCCUUUUAUAGAUGAGGAAAACAGGACUAACAGACAUGAGCUAAUUGGCCCAAACUGGAAAAUUGAAAUCCAGGUCUUACUGAUUCAAAAGCCUGAGCUUUUCCACAAAAUCAAUGGUUCCCAAGUAAUUCAUUCUAAAACUAAUGCUUGAGACACAUAUGAAUUUGGAGGAACCUUAGGAAUCCCUGUAUUAGCCACACAAAAGAAUAGCAGGGCUUCCUGGGCCCAUGGAAGAAGGUGACAAAGAAUAAAGGUGGAAUAUAAUGUCCGUGCUACAUCACAUAUGACAUGCUCUGACUUAGGACGCUUAAAAUUGGGAGCCUAAUUUUUGGUCUUGCUUCUCUAGCCCAUUAUUUCUAAAAAUAACACAUUUUUACUUUUCUAUAUUUCACAGGAUAUGGCAGAGUCUCCUUGAGAAAAACAAAGCAAAGAUGCUUUGCAAGUAAAUAUAUGCUGAAUGAAUGAAUUACCACAAGUUAUUCAUUCUCUGUUCAUUAAUUAAUGUUGCUUCAUUCAUCAGCUGCAUUGUCCAAUUUACUUUAGCAGACCGGCUGUCAUCAACUCCAGAGAGCUUAUGAAGGGUUGAGAUAAUUAGUCUCAAUACCCUUAAGGAGAAGUGGAGGUACAGUCUUGCUCUCUUGAAGAAUUGCACACUAAGAAACCACAAACCAGCAUCUAACGAGAUGGAAAUUCUGCAGCAGGCUGCCUGCCGCCCGAUGUGCCCAGCAGAGCCGGCUUAAAAUGCAGGAAACACCUGUGGUAUAUUCUAAGAGGGCCCCUUCCCCUUAAAAUAAUCUCUUCCCCAUUAGCCUCUGGCAAUACUUGGCAUGCUGCCAUUCAUUUCUUGUGCCGAUAAUGGUUUUUUUCCUGGAAUAGGAGCGAUUGACAUGACAAGAACUGAGAUGGGGCAGUUCUGAUACAACUGACAAAGAAUUAGCAGUACAGAGCAUGAGACCCUGCAUAAAGACAAAUGGGAGAAGCCGAAGCGCAAGGUGUCAGCAGGUUUCGUCUCUUCUGAGGCCUCUCUCCUUGGCUUGCAGAUGGCCUCCUUCUCGCUGUGUCCUCACGUGGCCUUUUUUCUCCAUGUGCGUGCAUCCGUCGUGUCUCUCUUAUUCUUGGAAGAAAAACAUGUGCCUUCUGCUAACUGUCUGGUGUGUCCAGUUCUGAAUGUCAAGACCAAGUCCUGAAAAUGGGUACUGGGGACGACUUAAGAGGUGAGUCAAGGUGGGUCUCACCCACUGGAUCAGAGGGGGCUUCUCCACCACUGGGAGCAAAAACCUGUCUUCUACAGAUGGCAGAGCAGAGAAUGUUCCCCUUUCAAGAAGGCCCACUUAACUUGAUUUUUUUUCUUAAAGCUUUUCAUUCCCUCACUCAGCAUUUGUCAAGCACCUUGUAUGUGUCAAGCUGAUGAUAGGCAUUGAUGCUACACAGAUGGUUAUAACCUGGUCCAGCAAAAUCUCUUGCUGUCUGGUAGGGACCAGGCAAAUACAAAUGGAUGAGUUAAAGUCCUGCAUAAUAGAUACCUCAUUGGAACUAUGAACCAAUGACUCCAGAGAAAGAGCCACACCUGACUGCCUGUCAUCUUCUGACAGAGGAUGUCAUGUUGUAUGCGGUGUGAUCAUCUACCAAGAUCCUAGGACCAAUUAUAUGGCUCAUUGACCUGCACGGGUACCUGGAACUUCAGCUCAAACAUUUACGAUAACCAAGCAUCCAAAAGCUAUGAAAACACAGAACUGGCAGCCAAUCCAUUAAAUCACUCAAACAUCUAUUAACUAGCAAUUGUAUAAAAUUUGCUGGAUUUGAGCACUGUAAGGGUAUAGAAGGGCAAAUGAAGAUCAAUAACAGGAGAGGAAAGAGAAGAGUAAAACAGUUAGCAUCUGUUGAUGGCCAGGCAUCAUAUUAAGUAUUUCAUAUAUAUUAUUUAAUUCUGAAAGGAUCUUUUUGUAAGUUAAGAAGCUGAGGUGACAUGAGUUGCUCAAGUUCACACAGACAGCAAAGGGUGAGCCAUUGCAAUGCAAAGCCCAUGUCCAAUUCCUCACUCCUUGCUACUCUAGCAAGAGUUCUGGGGGUAAGUUUUGUAAGGAGAGAAAGAAAAGAGAGAAAAUCCUUGACAGUAAGUGAAGCAAAAGCCUGGAUAUCUGAAUGGGAGGAGACACCGUUGCAGAGCCCAUCCGUCCUGAUUUUCCCAGAGGCACGGGAGCAGAGCACGUCCCCACCGAACCUAAGCACGCGGAAAGAUGCCCACAGAUUGCUGCAUUUGUAUUUUUACUGAGCCAGCAUUGAGGAAUUCCACAGACACAUAUGUUGUGUACAUACGUGGGCUAUCACUUUUUAGGUGGAUGUACGUGUUAGGAUUAUCGAAAUAAGCAUCCAUUUAAAAGAAUGAU
RNAcentral lists this long non-coding RNA (3852 nucleotides) under Homo sapiens (human). RNAcentral's name for it is "HSALNT0366340". The record is from RNAcentral. Lineage: Eukaryota; Metazoa; Chordata; Mammalia; Primates; Hominidae.